CAGGAAAGAUUCAUCACUUAACAUGACUGUCUCUCUAUGUCUCAGUCCACUCAAUUAUAAAAUAUGCAGGUUGUGCAACGAACAAGCAGCCACUUGUUGUGAAGUGAAUACAAUAGAGAGACGAAGUCCCUCCCCUUCCGGUGGACCAUAAUGGGACCUUAUUCCGGAAAAAAAUAUGUAAGGUAGUCAAUGGUGAGAGACUAAUAUGUUUUGAUCCUGUUUGAAUUGCGCCAUGAAUCUCACAUAUGAUGUUUGUCAAUUGAAAAUAUAAUUUUGCAAGUCAAGAAAGUCGCAGUUUGUUGUAGGACUGUUGGAGUUUCAGACAUGUGAU
This is a long non-coding RNA of Sebastes umbrosus (honeycomb rockfish), 331 nucleotides long. RefSeq lists it as uncharacterized. The transcript has 4 exons. NCBI's taxonomy places the organism in Eukaryota, Metazoa, Chordata, Actinopteri, Perciformes, Sebastidae. The record is from RefSeq and is a predicted model, not a curated record.